Molecule: non-coding RNA, 100 nt
Organism: Corchorus olitorius
Lineage: Eukaryota; Viridiplantae; Streptophyta; Magnoliopsida; Malvales; Malvaceae
Source: Rfam
CAUGGGUUUAUGUUAUAUUCCAUCUCUUGCACACUGGAUGGAGUUUUGCUGACUUCUGCAGGCUGGUGUGCAGGGGGUGGAAUACAUCAUUCAAAUCAUG